This 787-nucleotide ribosomal RNA is filed under the name uncultured marine microorganism. RNAcentral's name for it is "bacterial SSU rRNA". It matches the Rfam family "Bacterial small subunit ribosomal RNA", at positions 8 to 839 of the family's 1533-position model. The record is from RNAcentral.
AGAGUUUGAUCAUGGCUCAGGAUGAACGCUGGCGGUAUGCCUAACACAUGCAAGUCGAACGAUGUCUUCGGACAUAGUGGCGGACGGGUGAGUAACGCGUGAGAAUCUGCCUCUAGGAUGGGGAUAACGGUUGGAAACGACCGCUAACACCCAAUAUGCCGUAAGGUGAAAAAUUUAUUGCCUGGAGAGGAGCUCGCGUCUGAUUAGCUAGUUGGUGGGGUAAGAGCUCACCAAGGCCUCGAUCAGUAGCUGGUCUGAGAGGAUGAGCAGCCACACUGGGACUGAGACACGGCCCAGACUCCUACGGGAGGCAGCAGUGGGGAAUUUUCCGCAAUGGGCGAAAGCCUGACGGAGCAAUACCGCGUGAGGGAGGAAUGCCUUUGGGUUGUAAACCUCUUUUCUCAGGGAAGAAGAUCUGACGGUACCUGAGGAAUAAGUAUCGGCUAACUCCGUGCCAGCAGCCGCGGUAAUACGGAGGAUGCAAGCGUUAUCCGGAAUCAUUGGGCGUAAAGCGUCCGCAGGUGGUUUCCAAAGUCUGCUGUUAAAGACUGGAGCUCAACUCCGGAACGGCGGUGGAAACUUGGAAACUAGAGUUCGGUAGGGGUAGCAGGAAUUCCCAGUGUAGCGGUGAAAUGCGUAGAUAUUGGGAAGAACAUCGGUGGCGAAGGCGUGCUACUGGACCGUAACUGACACUCAGGGACGAAAGCUAGGGGAGCGAAAGGGAUUAGAUACCCCUGUAGUCCUAGCUGUAAACGAUGGAAACCAGGUGUGGCUUGUAUCGACCCGA